RNAcentral lists this ribosomal RNA (1022 nucleotides) under Listeria monocytogenes. RNAcentral describes it as "bacterial LSU rRNA". It matches the Rfam family "Bacterial large subunit ribosomal RNA", at positions 264 to 1281 of the family's 2925-position model. The record is from RNAcentral. Lineage: Bacteria; Bacillati; Bacillota; Bacilli; Caryophanales; Listeriaceae.
AGAGCCCAAACCAAGAAGCUUGCUUCUUGGGGUUGUAGGACACUCUAUACGGAGUUACAAAAGAAAGUUAUAAAUGAAGCGGUCUGGAAAGGCCCGCCAAAGACGGUAACAGCCCGGUAGUUGAAAUAGCUUUCCCUCCAGAGUGGAUCCUGAGUACGGCGGAACACGUGAAAUUCCGUCGGAAUCCGGGAGGACCAUCUCCCAAGGCUAAAUACUCCCUAGUGACCGAUAGUGAACCAGUACCGUGAGGGAAAGGUGAAAAGCACCCCGGAAGGGGAGUGAAACAGUUCCUGAAACCGUGUGCCUACAAGUAGUUAGAGCCCGUUAAUGGGUGAUAGCGUGCCUUUUGUAGAAUGAACCGGCGAGUUACGAUUUGUUGCAAGGUUAAGCGGAAAAAGCGGAGCCGUAGCGAAAGCGAGUCUGAAUAGGGCGCAUAAGUAACAGGUCGUAGACCCGAAACCAGGUGAUCUACCCAUGUCCAGGAUGAAGGUAAGGUAAUACUUACUGGAGGUCCGAACCCACGCACGUUGAAAAGGGCGGGGAUGAGGUGUGGGUAGCGGAGAAAUUCCAAUCGAACUUGGAGAUAGCUGGUUCUCUCCGAAAUAGCUUUAGGGCUAGCCUCGAGGUAAAGAGUCAUGGAGGUAGAGCACUGUUUGGACUAGGGGCCCUUCUCGGGUUACCGAAUUCAGAUAAACUCCGAAUGCCAUGUACUUAUACUCGGGAGUCAGACUGCGAGUGAUAAGAUCCGUAGUCGAAAGGGAAACAGCCCAGACCACCAGUUAAGGUCCCCAAAUAUAUGUUAAGUGGAAAAGGAUGUGGGGUUGCUUAGACAACCAGGAUGUUGGCUUAGAAGCAGCCACCAUUGAAAGAGUGCGUAAUAGCUCACUGGUCGAGUGACCCCGCGCCGAAAAUGUACCGGGGCUAAACAUAUUACCGAAACUGUGGAUGAACCUCUUUAGAGGUUCGUGGUAGGAGAGCGUUCUAAGGGCGGUGAAGUCAGACCGGAAGGACUGGUGGAGCGC